This 218-nucleotide ribosomal RNA is filed under the name uncultured fungus. RNAcentral describes it as "partial small subunit ribosomal RNA". It matches the Rfam family "Eukaryotic small subunit ribosomal RNA", at positions 659 to 864 of the family's 1831-position model. The record is from RNAcentral. Lineage: Eukaryota; Fungi.
GGCCUGGCUGGACGGUCUUGCCUUGUUGUAAGUUUACUGUCCUGGCUGGGUCUUUCCUUCUGGGGAACCAGCUGCUCUUUAUUGGGUGUGUUGUGGGAUCCAGGACUUUUACUUUGAAAAAAUUAGAGUGUUCAAAGCAGGCAUUAGCUUGAAUACAUUAGCAUGGAAUAAUAAAAUAGGACUUUGGUUCUAUUUUGUUGGCUUCUAGGACCGAAGUA